CCAGUGGAUUUAAUUCAAUAUAAUGGAGGGGUGAUUUGGAACAGUGUAUGACCUGCUCACCGAGCUACAAACAUGUUACACAUGGAUUAAAUGAUCAGGUACUGUCCAUAUGUGUAUGUUGUGUUAUAAGUACACAUAUAGUGGCUGAUCCCAAACAAUAUCCAUGUACUUUUUGGUUUUGGAAUCAGGCAGCUUUGAAAUAUAUGCUAAUUCACCAUUGCUCAUUUACAGUAGGUGGAUGAGGAACUGAAGAGGAACCAGGGCUCCAUUUGUCUUCCUGCUGCACCUGAACAUCAUUCAUGCUCUUUGCACAAAUAAAUACACUCAACUCACUAUCAAUAUAUUUAAGCCACUGAAUGGGAACUGAAUCUGCCAAAGGAACCAAAGAAGAAGCUGCAGAGGAGUACCGAGAAGUUUCCACAGCACACUAAUGGAGUUGGAAGGAGCCCACUGGAUGUCCACAAUUAUGACUUCCAUUCCAUUCUUGGGCAAGGAGGAUUCGGCAAAGUUAUGUUGGCUACAUUUGCCAACCAGCACGUGGCCAUGAAGGUGAUCAAGAAGAGUCCGAAAUGCAAUUACAGCAGC
Long non-coding RNA from Xenopus laevis (African clawed frog), 585 nucleotides. RefSeq lists it as uncharacterized. The transcript is spliced from 3 exons. NCBI's taxonomy places the organism in Eukaryota, Metazoa, Chordata, Amphibia, Anura, Pipidae. The record is from RefSeq and is a predicted model, not a curated record.